GGACUACUGGGGUAUCUAAUCCUGUUUGCUACCCACGCUUUCGCGUCUCAGUGUCAGAAACGGCCCAGAAGGCCGCCUUCGCCACAGGUAUUCCUCCAAAUAUCUACGAAUUUCACCUCUACACUUGGAAUUCCACCUUCCUCUACCGUUCUCUAGUCUACCAGUUUCGACUGCACUUCCCCGGUUGAGCCGAGGGCUUUCACAACCGACUUGGUAAACCACCUACACGCGCUUUACGCCCAAUGAUUCCGAACAACGCUUGCACCCUACGUAUUACCGCGGCUGCUGGCAC
This 292-nucleotide ribosomal RNA is filed under the name uncultured bacterium. RNAcentral's name for it is "partial 16S ribosomal RNA". The record is from RNAcentral.